Molecule: ribosomal RNA, 677 nt
Filed under: uncultured soil bacterium
Lineage: Bacteria
Description: bacterial SSU rRNA
Rfam family: Bacterial small subunit ribosomal RNA
Source: RNAcentral
UUUCCUACGGGAGGCAGCAGUCGGGAAUUUUGGGCAAUGGGCGAAACCUGACCCGAACGCCGCGUGAAGGAUGAAAUCCCUCGGGAUGCUUCGCAAGAACGGGAAGAAUAAGCCGGUGUUAACACCACCGGUGAUGACGGUACUGUUUGUAAGCUCCGGCUAACUCCGUGCCAGCAGCCGCGGUAAUACGGGGGGAGCAAGCGUUGUUCGGAUUUACUGGGCGUAAAGGGCGCGUAGGCGGCCUCUGCAAGUCGACUGUGAAAUCUCCGGGCUUAACCCGGAACGGUCAGCCGAUACUGCAGGGCUAGAGUGCAGAAGGGGCAACUGGAAUUCUCGGUGUAGCGGUGAAAUGCGUAGAUAUCGAGAGGAACACCUGCGGCGAAGGCGGGUUGCUGGGCUGACACUGACGCUGAGGCGCGAAAGCUAGGGGAGCGAACGGGAUUAGAUACCCCGGUAGUCCUAGCCUUAAACGAUGAAUGCUUGGUGUCUGGGGUUUUAUAGUCCCCGGGUGCCGUCGCUAACGCUUUAAGCAUUCCGCCUGGGGAGUACGGUCGCAAGACUGAAACUCAAAGGAAUUGACGGGGACCCGACAAGCGGUGGAGCAUGUGGUUUAAUUCGACGCAACGCUGACCUUACCUGGGCUAGAAUGCCUCUGACCGGCGUAGAGAUACGCCUCC